CCUACGGGUGGCUGCAGUGAGGAAUAUUGGUCAAUGGGCGCAAGCCUGAACCAGCCAAGUAGCGUGAAGGAUGACUGCCCUACGGGUUGUAAACUUCUUUUAUAAAGGAAUAAAGUGAGUCACGUGUGCCUUUUUGUAUGUACUUUAUGAAUAAGGAUCGGCUAACUCCGUGCCAGCAGCCGCGGUAAUACGGAGGAUCCGAGCGUUAUCCGGAUUUAUUGGGUUUAAAGGGAGCGUAGAUGGGUUGUUAAGUCAGUUGUGAAAUGUUGGGGCUCAACCGUAAAAUUGCAAUUGAUACUGGCAUGCUUGAGUACAGUGGAGGUAGGCGGAAUUCGUGGUGUAGCGGUGAAAUGCUUAGAUAUCACGAAGAACUCCGAUUGCGAAGGCAGCUUACUAAACUGCAACUGACACUGAUGCUCGAAAGUGUGGGUAUCGAACAGGAUUAGAUACCCGAGUAGUC
This 460-nucleotide ribosomal RNA is filed under the name uncultured bacterium. RNAcentral's name for it is "partial 16S ribosomal RNA". It matches the Rfam family "Bacterial small subunit ribosomal RNA", at positions 338 to 795 of the family's 1533-position model. The record is from RNAcentral.